GCACUCGAUCCUCUAGGUUUUUAUGAGCCACCGGGGGCACACCGGACCUCGCACAACGUGCGAUGCUCUUUUAGUCGCCGGACCCUACCUCCAACUAGGUCAUUUUCAGGGUGGGCAAGCUGUUAAAUAGAAAAUGUAACUCUUCUUGAGGCCCUGUCAACAUCUCCAGACUCCCUAAAGUCUCCGUCAGGCCCUAGCCGCCAUAUCUCGUUUUGGGUUUUAAAAAUAUAGAGACUAAU
Molecule: unclassified non-coding RNA, 239 nt
Filed under: Hevea brasiliensis (rubber tree)
Lineage: Eukaryota; Viridiplantae; Streptophyta; Magnoliopsida; Malpighiales; Euphorbiaceae
Source: RNAcentral